GGGCCAGUAGUCUAGCAUGGAUAAGGCACCUGCUUGCGGAGUAGGAUAUCGCAAGUUCGAAUCUUGCCUGGCCCG
RNAcentral lists this transfer RNA (75 nucleotides) under Candidatus Heimdallarchaeota archaeon AB_125. Its description in RNAcentral is "tRNA-Arg". It matches the Rfam family "tRNA". Rfam says of the family: Transfer RNA (tRNA) molecules are approximately 80 nucleotides in length. Their secondary structure includes four short double-helical elements and three loops (D, anti-codon, and T loops). Lineage: Archaea; Promethearchaeati; Candidatus Heimdallarchaeota. The record is from RNAcentral.